Molecule: ribosomal RNA, 495 nt
Filed under: Salmonella enterica subsp. enterica serovar Weltevreden
Lineage: Bacteria; Pseudomonadati; Pseudomonadota; Gammaproteobacteria; Enterobacterales; Enterobacteriaceae
Description: bacterial SSU rRNA
Rfam family: Bacterial small subunit ribosomal RNA
Source: RNAcentral
UGCAAGCGUUAAUCGGAAUUACUGGGCGUAAAGCGCACGCAGGCGGUCUGUCAAGUCGGAUGUGAAAUCCCCGGGCUCAACCUGGGAACUGCAUUCGAAACUGGCAGGCUUGAGUCUUGUAGAGGGGGGUAGAAUUCCAGGUGUAGCGGUGAAAUGCGUAGAGAUCUGGAGGAAUACCGGUGGCGAAGGCGGCCCCCUGGACAAAGACUGACGCUCAGGUGCGAAAGCGUGGGGAGCAAACAGGAUUAGAUACCCUGGUAGUCCACGCCGUAAACGAUGUCUACUUGGAGGUUGUGCCCUUGAGGCGUGGCUUCCGGAGCUAACGCGUUAAGUAGACCGCCUGGGGAGUACGGCCGCAAGGUUAAAACUCAAAUGAAUUGACGGGGGCCCGCACAAGCGGUGGAGCAUGUGGUUUAAUUCGAUGCAACGCGAAGAACCUUACCUGGUCUUGACAUCCACGGAAGUUUUCAGAGAUGAGAAUGUGCCUUCGGGAAC